This 1119-nucleotide ribosomal RNA is filed under the name Triticum aestivum (bread wheat). Its description in RNAcentral is "partial small subunit ribosomal RNA". Lineage: Eukaryota; Viridiplantae; Streptophyta; Magnoliopsida; Poales; Poaceae. The record is from RNAcentral.
AUGGAGGAGCGGCUUGCCUCCCACAAGAGAGCUCCGAGGAAGCCGAAGCCGCCGCCGAGGCGGACCAAGCCGACCGUCGCCGCCGCACCUACCAGCAGCCCGUCGUUGACCGGCCCGCCACGCCCGCCAGGCAUUCCACCGCCACCUGGGCCUCCUCCGCGGCUGCCUGGAGGUCCUGUCCCGCCGCCGCCGUCUAUGAAAAUGCCCGGCAAGGGCCGUCCGCCUGUGGCUGUGGGCGGCGGUGGCGAAAGAAUGCGCCGCGCGCCCGAGAUCGUGGAGUUCUACCAGUCCCUGACCAGGCGCGGCGAGGCCAGGCAGGCUGGCUCCCGAGGCCCCAAGGCGUCCGGCGGGUCAACGGCUCCCAAGAGCGACUUAAUCGGGGAGAUCACCAAGAACUCCCCCCAUCUCCUUGCCGUUCAAGCCGAUGUGGAGACCCAAGGGGACUUCGUGCGCACCUUGGUCGCCGAGGUCCGGGAGGCGACCUUCGCGAGCAUCGAGGACGUCGUGGCGUUUGUGACAUGGCUCGACGAAGAGCUCUCCUUCUUGGUGGAUGAACAAGCAGUCUUGAAGCACUUCGACUGGCCGGAGAAAAGAGCAGACACAUUGCGAGACGCCGCUGCCAGGUACCAGGGCCUUCUGCAACUAGAGAAGCAGAUCUCGUCCUUCGUCGAUGACCGCGCGCUCCACCGCGACGCAGCGCUCGGCAAGAUGUACUCCCUCUUCGAGAAAACAGAGAAGAGCGUCCACAAGUUCCUGCAAGAUAGGGAUGCCGCCGACACGAAGAACAAUCUCAUCUCACGGUACAAGGAGCAAGACAUUCCAGUUGGCUGGAUGUCAGACGCAGGUUUAAUUGUGAAGGUCAAGUUGGCGUGCGUCAACCUCGCAAAGCAGUACAUGACGCGGGUGGUCUCGGAGAUUGAUGGUUUAAGAGGCAUCAACAAAGAUCACACCAGGGAAACAGCACUCUUCAAACGUCUGAAAGAGCAGAACAGUGAAGUGCUGCUCCAUCAGGGUGUCAGGUUCGCGUUCCGGGUUCAUCAGUUUACAGGCGGGUUCACCGCUCAGAGCUUAGGUGCUUUUGAUGAGCUAAAACGACGGCAUAAUGAUGGAACAACUUAA